Long non-coding RNA from Brienomyrus brachyistius, 469 nucleotides. RefSeq lists it as uncharacterized. NCBI's taxonomy places the organism in Eukaryota, Metazoa, Chordata, Actinopteri, Osteoglossiformes, Mormyridae. The transcript has 3 exons. The record is from RefSeq and is a predicted model, not a curated record.
UGAGGAAGAGCCCUGAAAUAAUCAGUCGUCGAAUGACCUUCGCUCUUACCGGUUACUUGCUCAUUUUUAUGAGGUUCUCAUAUCGAGUCCAGCGCCAAUACUGGCUCCUCUUCGCAUACCACAUGGCCAAUGUGACGGCACAAACGAUCCAGGGAGGCCGGCUCAUCCGACACAAAAUGCAGAAGAAAAAUGUGAAAUGAGCCUUUGCGUCCGUAAAGAAAUCUCCCCUCCUGCCGCCCCCCCAAAUAAAUAUUUAUAUAAAUUUAUAUAUCUGUGUAUUCAUUUCUUUCAUUUUUCUUAUUAUGAAACCACACGUGAGUAGGGGCAAUUCACUGCCCAUACAAAGUGCGAGGGGAUAACAUUUACCUAAUGAAGACUGUAGUCCUGUAUUAGACAAAAUCAUUUUAUCAUAUGGGUCAGUUACAGUUACCUACAUAAGAACAUAAGAUAUUUACAAACGAGAGGAGAC